RNAcentral lists this unclassified non-coding RNA (604 nucleotides) under Hevea brasiliensis (rubber tree). The record is from RNAcentral. Lineage: Eukaryota; Viridiplantae; Streptophyta; Magnoliopsida; Malpighiales; Euphorbiaceae.
CGUUGCCAGAUUUCCCGGAGGCUUCUAAAUUUCAUGUAACCCAGCUAACAGAACUUCUAAGAAAGACUGAUGGUAAAGAUUCCAUUUCAGUGUUCCUAAGGAACAUGCUUCUUGGAUGGUAUAAUGCAGACGGGAUUUUAAUGAACACGGUGGAGGAGAUUGACAAGCUCGGAUUGAUGUAUUUCAGAAAAAAAAUUGGCCGACCAGUUUGGCCAAUUGGUCCAGCUCUAUUAUCCGCAAGAACCAGAGCUCGAGCAGGAAAAGAAACAGGAAUCGCGCCAGAGGUAUGUAAAAAAUGGCUUGAUACAAAACCGUUGAAUUCUGUUCUAUACAUAUCUUUUGGUUCGCAGAACACGGUAUCAGCAUCAAAUAUUAUGCAAUUAGCAAUGGCAUUGGAGGCUAGUGGCAAAAAUUUUAUUUGGGUUGUCAGACCGCCAUUCGGCUUCGACAUAAACUCGGAAUUUAAAGCAAAAGAAUGGUUGCCCGAAGGUUAUGAAGAAAGAAUAAAAGAUUCAGGGAGAGGGUUACUAGUGCAAAAAUGGGCACCCCAGGUGGAAAUUCUGUCACAUAGGUCUGUUUCUGCAUUUUUGAGUCAUUGUGGAUG